CCUACGGGAGGCAGCAGUGGGGAAUAUUGCGCAAUGGGGGAAACCCUGACGCAGCAACGCCGCGUGCAGGAUGACGGCCUUCGGGUUGUAAACCUCUUUCAGCAGGGAAGAACAUCGCCGUUCCCUGCAGCCGCAGCCCCGGCUAACUACGUGCCAGCAGCCCCGUUACUAGGUAGGGGGCGAGCGUUAUCCGGAUUCAUUGGGAGUAAAGCGCUCGUAGGCGGGUGCCUAGGCGGGACCUCUAACCUCGGGACUCACCCCCGAGCCGGGUCCCGAACUGGGGGCCUCGAGUGCGGUAGGGGAGAUCGGAAUUCCCGGUGUAGCGGUGGAAUGCGCAGAUAUCGGGAAGAACCCCGAUGGCGAGGGCAGAUCGCUGGGCCGGAACUGACGCUGAGGCGCGAAAGCUAGGGGAGCGAACAGGAUUAGAUACCCCGGUAGUC
Molecule: ribosomal RNA, 440 nt
Filed under: uncultured bacterium
Lineage: Bacteria
Description: partial 16S ribosomal RNA
Rfam family: Bacterial small subunit ribosomal RNA
Source: RNAcentral